Molecule: ribosomal RNA, 301 nt
Filed under: uncultured bacterium
Lineage: Bacteria
Description: bacterial SSU rRNA
Rfam family: Bacterial small subunit ribosomal RNA
Source: RNAcentral
GGUUUACCGCUAAGGGAUGGGGAUGCGUCUGAUUAGGUAGUCGGCGGGGUAACGGCCCACCGAGCCAUCGAUCGGUAGGGUUCUGAGAGGAAGGUCCCCCACACUGGUACUGAGACACGGACCAGACUCCUACGGGAGGCAGCAGUGAGGAAUAUUGGUCAAUGGGCGUAAGCCUGAACCAGCCAAGUAGCGUGCAGGAUGACGGCCCUACGGGUUGUAAACUGCUUUUAUGCGGGAUAAAGUGCGGCACGUGUGCCGUUUUGUAGGUACCGCAUGAAUAAGGACCGGCUAAUUCCGUGCC